CUCUUCUGCCUCCUAGCGAAAAAGGUGCCUGCUUCUCCUGCCAUGAUUAUAAGUUUCCUGAGGCUUCCCCAGCCAUGCCUAACUCUCCUUCCCAUUUAUGAGAGAGCCACCUGACAUCAGUCCAUAGGCUGUGAAGAGUAUUCCAGAUCUAUCACAUUUCUGCGAUUCCCAGAUGGCUGGUCAUGAAAAAAAUUCCCUCUUCAGUUUAUGUAUAUGGCAGUGAAAAGACAAGAGGAAUCUUGGCCGCAAAAACUGAUAUCCAUCGUAAGAUCAUGAUGAAAUACAGCCUGAAGCAGGUCCAGAGUGAGAAGAGAAAAGAAUCACAGAAAUGGGGCUGGAGUUUCAACUGUAUUAAGCCAGAAGACUACCUACCUCCAAACUUUCAAGAAGCCAACAAAAUUCCUGACUGUUUAAACUAAUUUGAAUUGGAUUUCUAUUGCUUGUAUCUAAAAGCAUCCUAACUGGAAAAAAGAAGGCAUUGCCAGAAGAAGAAAGAAGAGGAGAAGAAAGAGGUGUCAUAAACUUUCUAAGAUAGUACCUUCCCUGAAGACUAUGAGUUUCUGUGCAUCCUAGGACCUCUAUGGAAAUUAGAUAAUUUCUGAUGAAGUUAAACAAUUAUAUUAUAAGAAACUCCUCAAAUCAAGAAUAAAUAAAAACAAGAGUAGCAUUAACAUUUACUGCAGAGUACAUUAAUACAGUUCAAAUCUAAAUGUCUGCUCUUGCAUUUCUGUGACUUUUCAUGCCAUGCUGAAAAUCUGGAAUGGAAACUCUCAUCCAUCUUGGUGAUUUCCUAGUGCCCUGAGGAUGGCUUCAUUUAAAAGCAUUUGAAGAUUUAAGU
RNAcentral lists this long non-coding RNA (838 nucleotides) under Pongo abelii (Sumatran orangutan). RNAcentral describes it as "lincRNA". The record is from RNAcentral. Lineage: Eukaryota; Metazoa; Chordata; Mammalia; Primates; Hominidae.